Non-coding RNA from Paramicrosporidium saccamoebae, 74 nucleotides. The record is from the annotation of a GenBank genome assembly. NCBI's taxonomy places the organism in Eukaryota, Fungi, Rozellomycota.
AAAAAUCAUAGUUUAAAAGGUUAAAACUUCAAUUUGUGAUAUUGAAAAUCUGAGUUCGAACCUCAGUGAUUCCC